This 385-nucleotide unclassified non-coding RNA is filed under the name fungal sp. RNAcentral's name for it is "partial internal transcribed spacer region". The stretch from base 1 to 46 matches the Rfam family "Eukaryotic small subunit ribosomal RNA", at positions 1786 to 1831 of the family's 1831-position model. Lineage: Eukaryota; Fungi. The record is from RNAcentral.
AAGUCGUAACAAGGUCUCCGUAGGUGAACCUGCGGAGGGAUCAUCUAUAAAAAAAAUAUGAUGAUGAUGAUGAUGAUGAUGUUUAUUCAUCAUCAUCAUCAUUAUUCAUAUAUUAUCCAUUAUAGGAUGUUUUGGUGUUGUUAUUAUAUAAUAUUCUUAUAAUGUUGCAGGAUGGAAUUGUGUGUAUGUGUAUGUGUGUGUGUGUCGGUGUUUGUGUGUGUGUUGUAUGUGUGUUUGUGUUUUAAGGAGUAUUGUUACUCUUUUUAACCUUCCCCACAUACACUCUACUCUUAUUACUACCCAUCACUACACCAAUAAAAAACCAACCAGGAUCAUAAAUUCCAAACAAAGUUUAUAACUUUUGGCAACGGAUCUCUUGGUUCUC